RNAcentral lists this ribosomal RNA (477 nucleotides) under uncultured bacterium. RNAcentral describes it as "partial 16S ribosomal RNA". It matches the Rfam family "Bacterial small subunit ribosomal RNA", at positions 28 to 507 of the family's 1533-position model. The record is from RNAcentral.
GAUGAACGCUGGCGGCGUGCCUAACACAUGCAAGUCGAACGAAGCACCUUACCUGAUUCUUCGGAUGAAAGUUUGGUGACUGAGUGGCGGACGGGUGAGUAACGCGUGGGUAACCUGCCCUGUACAGGGGGAUAACAGCUGGAAACGGCUGCUAAUACCGCAUAAGCGCACGAGGAGACAUCUCCUUGUGUGAAAAACUCCGGUGGUACAGGAUGGGCCCUCGUCUGAUUAGCGGGUUGGCAGGGUAACGGCCUACCAAGGCAACGAUCAGUAGCCGGUCUGAGAGGAUGAACGGCCACAUUGGAACUGAGACACGGUCCAAACUCCUACGGGAGGCAGCAGUGGGGAAUAUUGCACAAUGGGGGAAACCCUGAUGCAGCAACGCCGCGUGAGUGAAGAAGUAUUUCGGUAUGUAAAGCUCUAUCAGAAGGGAAGAUAAUGACGGUACCUGACUAAGAAGCUCCGGCUAAAUACGUG